AAAAAUUUAGUUAAUUUAUAACGCUAAUUUGUCAAAUUAGAAUAAUUAUUAUAUAAUAAUUUUUA
Molecule: transfer RNA, 65 nt
Filed under: Xyletinus sp. XYL01
Lineage: Eukaryota; Metazoa; Arthropoda; Insecta; Coleoptera; Ptinidae
Description: tRNA-Asp
Source: RNAcentral